UCCAGACACACCUUGGCCGUAAGCUUUUCUCAUUACUCAACAGCACCUUUCACUCAACACCAUUCGGAGAGCAAAGGGUCUGACUAACACUUCGGGAUUUGAGAAUCUGUGUCCCUAAUUUACAUGAGUAACUAUUGGAACUCGCGGAUAAAAUCAACGUGCCGGUUUGGCCACGCUCUUAGACCGUCUGGAGUGUCUGGCAGAAAAAGUUUGGGAAACCCUGACAUAGCAGCCGGGCCAGAUUACAGACCGGGCACGUGCCCUGGGGCCCCGAUCUUCAGAGGAACCCCAAAAAUAAUCUAAUAGUACAUGAACACAUCACAAACCAUUGUAAAAAUGUGUAGCAUUGCCGUAAAUGAGCUUUAAGACGGUAAACAUUUCUUGUAAAUGCAGGAAGUUAACUGAUUUCCUAAAUAUUAAAAAUGUUUUCAAAAGAAAA
RNAcentral lists this long non-coding RNA (439 nucleotides) under Salmo salar (Atlantic salmon). RNAcentral's name for it is "lncRNA (ENSSSAG00000111956.1)". Lineage: Eukaryota; Metazoa; Chordata; Actinopteri; Salmoniformes; Salmonidae. The record is from RNAcentral.